AACGAACGCUGGCGGCAUGCCUAACACAUGCAAGUCGAACGAUACCUUCGGGUCUAGUGGCGCACGGGUGCGUAACGCGUGGGAAUCUGCCUUUGGGUUCGGAAUAACAGUUGGAAACGACUGCUAAUACCGGAUGAUGACGUAAGUCCAAAGAUUUAUCGCCCAAGGAUGAGCCCGCGUAGGAUUAGCUAGUUGGUGAGGUAAAGGCUCACCAAGGCGACGAUCCUUAGCUGGUCUGAGAGGAUGAUCAGCCACACUGGGACUGAGACACGGCCCAGACUCCUACGGGAGGCAGCAGUGGGGAAUAUUGGACAAUGGGCGAAAGCCUGAUCCAGCAAUGCCGCGUGAGUGAUGAAGGCCUUAGGGUUGUAAAGCUCUUUUACCCGGGAUGAUAAUGACAGUACCGGGAGAAUAAGCUCCGGCUAACUCCGUG
Molecule: ribosomal RNA, 433 nt
Filed under: uncultured bacterium
Lineage: Bacteria
Description: partial 16S ribosomal RNA
Rfam family: Bacterial small subunit ribosomal RNA
Source: RNAcentral